RNA transcript from Drosophila elegans, 2816 nucleotides. RefSeq lists it as uncharacterized. The transcript is spliced from 4 exons. NCBI's taxonomy places the organism in Eukaryota, Metazoa, Arthropoda, Insecta, Diptera, Drosophilidae. The record is from RefSeq and is a predicted model, not a curated record.
UGUAUUAGUCUUCGAUUUGCAUUCACUGGAAACGUGCCUCCGAUUUGUAAAGUUAAUGUGCCUAAAAAACUGCUUCACAUUUGUGCAAAACUAGUUCUAAUAAUCUAACAGGGUCAGCUAAGAGACUUUCUCAAUAGCAUUGCAUGAGGGAGAGGAGAGCACGCUAAAAGAGAGUGGAGAAGAGCGGGACAUUGUUUUUGUGUGUGAGUGGAAAUGUACUCUGACAAUGACGAGUCGCACGAUAACUCUAGUGGAUCACAGCGCAUUCGGAAUGUGUUGACUCUGGAGGAGCGGGUGGCCGUCAUCCGGCAGUACGACAUCGUGCCCAUGUACAGCAAGAUUGCCCGGAACUUCAACUGCAGCUGGGAGCAGAUCAAGAGCAUUGUGUCCAAUCGCGAGGCGAUUCUGGAGUUCCACGAGGCCACCAAUCGCAUGAGCCAACCGGCCAACAAGGACGGCGAACUGCGCCGGCGCAAACUGAACUUUCUGGGCCACUGCCUGUACGAGUAUAUCCAAAGGGCCCAGUUCUAUUUGCACAGCGAUGUGAACGAGGAGAUGAUCCGCAACCGGGCGAUAGAGUUCCGUGACCUGAUGAGAAUCGAGGGCUUUGUGCCGAACAAGCCGUGGAUCAAUCACUUCAAGGCCGCCUACAAUAUAACCCUGUCGAAUCGUCAGAUCACGAUAACCCGUCGACCACCACGAUCGAUGGACUUGAGGGACAUAAUGUCCUAUUGUGGGCGACAUACGUCCAUGGCUUGUAGUUUGGUGCCCCGAUCACCGGAACCCAGCGCUCCCACGACCAGUGACCAAAGGGCCAUCGAUCGACCUUUGUAUCGCACCAAGACAUUGGUCACCACAUCGUGUCAAAAUCAGGCCACCUCGGAUGAGGUGCAUCUGCGACGCAAGCGGAAGAUAACCUUUCUGGAGAAGUGCUUGUACGAGUACAUCCAGCGAUCGCAGCUGCACCACAAGGGCAGACUGGAUUUGGACAACCUGCGAACGGUGGCCAUUAGUUUGAGGGACAUUCUGAAGAUCGAGUCGUUCUUUCCCGACAAAGUGUGGUUCAAUCACUUCAAGAGCCGCUACAACUUUACGUUUUCCGUGGGCGUGCCGAUGACCAAUCGCCGAGUGCCUCUUUCCCUGGACCUUCGGGAUGUAGUCAGUUAUUGUGGUCGGAAUGAACAUAAAAUUACGCUGGCCCACAAGAAAACACAGGAUGAGCUGGGAGCUGGCUUUGUCCACUUACCGCCGGUGGAACAAAAGCCCGAAGAAUUGGAGCCCGAGGAGGAUGACGAUUGUGUCGCAAUCGAAGUGCCGCAGGAACUCAUAGAAAUUAAGGACGAUGAGGAUGACGAGCCACCGGAGAGGAUAGCUAAACGAAGAUUGGAGGAAGAUGAUGGUGAUCCAGUAGCCUGUGGCCUGAAGAUACAAAAGAUUCAAUCACUUAGUGAUAUGCAAAUACCACCCGCCCAUAGUCCCGGUCACUAUUCAGAGACCAGCGAUGAGGCGCAUCUGCCGCGUUGCGUGGAAAGCUACAAGGAUGCACUGCGCCUGCUAAAACCCCUGGAGGAGUUUGCUCUGAUGGAGGAAAACUAUCGAGCCAUCGGACUGCUCACCCAGCUGGAGAAGAUCUUUGAGAGCGGAGCAAAAAAACAUGCCGAAAAGGACACCUCCGUAGAAUAGGAAAACAGCCAUAUACUUGUGCCUUAAGUUCAAAGAUGUACGUACCAUAGGUAGUUUCUAGGUCGCCGACUAUAUCAUAUAGCGCCCAUAGGAGCAGUUGCAAAAAUAAAUGAAAAAAGUAUAACUUUGCUGUUUUUCAAUUUAUUAAAAUACAAUUUAAGGAUUUGAAUUACAGUUUUAAUUUUAUUAAAAUUGGACAACCGAUCACAUAACUGCCAAAUGAACAAUCGCUAAAAUUUAACAGAAAAUCGUAAUAGCGUUUAAAGCUUAGUUAUUUAGUAAAAUAUUUCAUUUUUAUAAAGUAUGUAUUCUUCGGCUUGCCUCUCUUAUUUUUAUUGUUAACUGGCAUGGAUUUUGACAAUUAACUUUAAGUGAUUGUUAUCACCACCUUCUUAUCUUUGCAAGCAAUGCAUUUGUCGGGUACUUGUUUCUUUGGGCAAAUCAAAUAAGUAGUAAUUACAAAUGGAUCUUCAACCAAUCUAUUAUGGUAAAAAACAAUUGAUAAGGGCACUGGGCCAAUCAAUAGAAAGUUUCUUCAACAACAAUAAUCUUUAUAUGAAGAUAAAAGAUGCAUACACUAUUAACAUCGACUUAAAACAUAACGGAAUUAUGUUAGAAGUGCAGGAAAAUCAAGACUAUGAGCUCAAGAAAAGAAUAAACGAACAGAUGCAUUCAAAAACUAUAUCCAUUCUAGGUGAAAAAGUGGCCAACUUGGAAAGUGCAGCUGCAAUAAACGACGCACAACUGAAAGAUAGGAACAAGCGCAUCGCCGAAAUGGAAUCUGAAAUAAAAUUCCUACAUGAAGAACCCGCUAAAUUAAAUGCUGCUCAUCUUGAAAGUAGAGAAGAACUGAAAGAGAAGAAAAGAAUACAAGUGCAGGAAAAUCAAGAUGAAGAGAUCGAGAAAAGAGUUAACGAACAGAUCCAAUCAAAAACUAUAUCCAUACUAGGUGAAAAUGUGACCAACGACGCAUAUAUCCGCUUCAAAAAUAGCGUAAAACUAAAUGAAAGAGAACAAUUUAUAUUGACCAAGUCUUUUUACGAACGGUGUCAUUAUUUACAAACCUUGAAUCUGAGAUGAGGGAAGGACAAAUUUGAAAGUUAAAUUUUUGGAAUAAAAAAUAUUGAAUACUA